GUAGGUGAACCUGCGGAAGGAUCAUUAACACGUAUAUCCACAUACAAACCCUCCGUGCUCUUGUUACAUCCCUGUGGGAUGGAGUAUGGGUUCCGUACGGAUCACAUCAAAAUCCAUAAGUGAAAAAGAGGGGUGCCGCUGAAAAGUGGUGCUCUUGUUUCCGGGAUUCCGUCGAGCCCUGGGUCCUUACUUGUAAGGGUCCUGCCUCCGUCUCAUAGUCGUUCGUUUUUACUCCUUCACGGGAGUAAUU
Molecule: unclassified non-coding RNA, 250 nt
Filed under: plant metagenome
Description: partial contains small subunit ribosomal RNA, internal transcribed spacer 1, and 5.8S ribosomal RNA
Source: RNAcentral